Phrynosoma platyrhinos (Desert horned lizard) is the source of this 70-nucleotide non-coding RNA. The record is from the annotation of a GenBank genome assembly. Lineage: Eukaryota; Metazoa; Chordata; Lepidosauria; Squamata; Phrynosomatidae.
GCCAGCAUGGCACAGUGGUUUGAGCAUAGGAUUAUAACUAUGGAGACCAGGGUUCAAUUCCCUCUUGGCC